Molecule: non-coding RNA, 73 nt
Organism: Pangasianodon gigas (Mekong giant catfish)
Lineage: Eukaryota; Metazoa; Chordata; Actinopteri; Siluriformes; Pangasiidae
Source: the annotation of a GenBank genome assembly
ACCCGGCUAGUUCAGUUGAUAGAGUAUGGAACCCUUGAUCUCAGGAUCGUGGGUUUGCGACCCAUGCUGGGUG